Molecule: long non-coding RNA, 509 nt
Organism: Lutra lutra (Eurasian river otter)
Lineage: Eukaryota; Metazoa; Chordata; Mammalia; Carnivora; Mustelidae
Exons: 3
Source: RefSeq, a predicted model, not a curated record
AUAGGGGAAGGGAGGGAAAAACAAAAUAAGACAAAAUCAGGGAGGGAGACAAACCAUAAGAGACUCUUAAUCACAGGAAACAAACUAAGGGCUACUGGAGGGAAGGAGUGUGGGGGAAUGUGGUAAUUGGUAGAUGGGCAUAAGAGGGGGCAAGUGAUGGAAUGAACACUGGGUGUUCUAUGCAACUGAUGAGUCACUGAACUCUACUCUGAAACUAAUAAUACACUACAUGUUAAUUAACUGAAUUUAAAUAAGAUAAAAUUUAAAAAAAUAUAAGUAGGUAUCAGGGGUUUUUAGAGUCAAAUAAAAAGCAAUGUGAGUGAUCCUGAAUGAACCCAUGGCCUCAAACAAGUUUCACAAACACAAAGCGAGACCAGUCCAUUAACACAAAAGGAAGUAGUUUGGGAAGUGAACACAUCCACCUCACGAAGGGAACUAUUCUUCAGCUUCAAUUAUUGCUGUCCAUGGGAUGCCUGGGUGGCUCAGUUGGUUAAGCAGCUGCCUUCGGC